RNAcentral lists this transfer RNA (73 nucleotides) under Bacteroidales bacterium. RNAcentral describes it as "tRNA-Arg". It matches the Rfam family "tRNA". Rfam says of the family: Transfer RNA (tRNA) molecules are approximately 80 nucleotides in length. Their secondary structure includes four short double-helical elements and three loops (D, anti-codon, and T loops). Lineage: Bacteria; Pseudomonadati; Bacteroidota; Bacteroidia; Bacteroidales. The record is from RNAcentral.
GCCCUCGUAGUUCAAUGGAUAGAACAAAAGUUUCCUAAACUUUAGAUUUGAGUUCGAUUCUCAACGUGGGUAC